AUGAACGCUGGCGGCGUGCCUAAUACAUGCAAGUCGAGCGAACAGACGAGGAGCUUGCUCCUUUGACGUUAGCGGCGGACGGGUGAGUAACACGUGGAUAACCUACCUAUAAGACUGGGAUAACUUCGGGAAACCGGAGCUAAUACCGGAUAACAUGUUGAACCGCAUGGUUCAACAGUGAAAGACGGUCUUGCUGUCACUUAUAGAUGGAUCCGCGCCGCAUUAGCUAGUUGGUAAGGUAACGGCUUACCAAGGCAACGAUGCGUAGCCGACCUGAGGGGGUGAUCGGCCACACUGGAACUGAGACACGGUCCAGACUCCUACGGGAGGCAGCAGUAGGGAAUCUUCCGCAAUGGGCGAAAGCCUGACGGAGCAACGCCGCGUGAGUGAAGAAGGUCUUCGGAUCGUAAAACUCUGUUAUUAGGGAAGAACAAAUGUGUAAGUAACUAUGCACGUCUUGACGGUACCUAAUCAGAAAGCCACGGCUAACUACGUG
RNAcentral lists this ribosomal RNA (496 nucleotides) under uncultured bacterium. RNAcentral describes it as "partial 16S ribosomal RNA". It matches the Rfam family "Bacterial small subunit ribosomal RNA", at positions 29 to 507 of the family's 1533-position model. The record is from RNAcentral.